RNAcentral lists this long non-coding RNA (847 nucleotides) under Populus tremula. RNAcentral describes it as "long non-coding RNA (PTRE_LNC000200)". The record is from RNAcentral. Lineage: Eukaryota; Viridiplantae; Streptophyta; Magnoliopsida; Malpighiales; Salicaceae.
CUAAAUGCACUGUUGCCAUUCCCCUCCCCUCUCGGUGCAUUGUAAUUCCCCUCUCCUCUCAUUCCCCUCCUCUCAAUAAUUCAUUCCCCAUUUCCCAUUUCCCUAACCGGUUUUAUAAUUCCAACAUUGUAAUUCCCAUUUCCCAUUAUAAUUCCCCUCCCCUCUCUCGGUCUCCCCAUUCCCCUCUCCCUCUCUGUCUUAUAAUUGGUUCCCCCAAUUCCCCUGUUAUCUUUUCCUAUUGCCCCAGGCACCAAUACUGCGCCGCUUCCUUUUAUUCUGCAUCGGCGCCCAAGCAUUGGACCAAGGGCUUUCAAAAUGAACUACUUGGCUCGGUUUCCUUCCCCCGCUUAAUCGAAAUCUCCUUCACUCACAACAGAAGGCCAAAGCAAUCCCAACAAAGAAAGAUGCAGAGUGCUGUCAUACCCCUUCCCUUGAGGACCUUGGGUGUACGGUGGUCGGAUCCGGGGACAGGGAGAGGCUGCUUCACAGUAAAGUUCACAGAAAUCUCCCCCCCCGAUUUGGCCUCUCGCUGUUCACAUAAAUGGCGUCCCUUCUCUGUUCAAAAAAAUGAUUCCUCCCUGUUUUGCCUAUGUCACAGUAAUUCCCCCCCCCCACCGGUCUCUGUUUGGAUUCCCCUCUUGUUAAGGUUAGAUGAUGUUGCCGAUUGUGAUUGAUGAAGAAAAAAUGUGUUUUUUAUGGGUUGAUUGAUUAAUUUUUGGUUAGUUUUAGCUGUAGCAUUUGACGAGAUUUGAUGAAGAGGAAAACUGUUCUGUGUUGAAAAUUAUAUGGGAAAAAUAUCCCAGGCAACAAAUUUAUCCCAGGCAGCAGAUUUAUCCAAAAGAAUAUU